CCUACGGGCGGCAGCAGUGAGGAAUAUUGGUCAAUGGGCGCGAGCCUGAACCAGCCAAGCCGCGUGAAGGAUGAAUGCCCUACGGGUUGUAAACUUCUUUUAUAAAGGAAUAAAGUGAGGCACGUGUGCCUUUUUGUAUGUACUUUACGAAUAAGGAUCGGCUAACCACGUGCCAGCAGCCGCGGUAAGACGGAGGGGCCGAGCGUUAUCCGGAUUUAUUGGGUUUAAAGGGCGCGUAGAUGGGUUGUUAAGUCAGUUGUGAAAGUUUGCGGCUCAACCUUAAAAUUGCAAUUGAUACUGGCAGCCUUGAGUACAGUAGAGGGAAGCGGAAUUCGUGGUGUAGCAGUGAAAUGCGUAGAUAUCACGAAGAACUCCGAUUGCGAAGGCAGCCUACUGGACUGUAACUGACAUUGAUGCUCGAAAGUGUGGGUAUCAAACAGGAUUAGAUACCCGGGUAGUC
RNAcentral lists this ribosomal RNA (460 nucleotides) under uncultured bacterium. RNAcentral describes it as "partial 16S ribosomal RNA". It matches the Rfam family "Bacterial small subunit ribosomal RNA", at positions 338 to 795 of the family's 1533-position model. The record is from RNAcentral.